RNAcentral lists this long non-coding RNA (5400 nucleotides) under Homo sapiens (human). RNAcentral describes it as "non-protein coding lnc-EIF2B1-6:1". Lineage: Eukaryota; Metazoa; Chordata; Mammalia; Primates; Hominidae. The record is from RNAcentral.
AGAGUUCCGGAGCGCGGCGAAGGCUCCCACGCCGCGGGAGGGAGGAAAGGCGUCCGCGGGACGGUGGAGGCAGGCGGCGGGGCAGGCCUGGGGAGUUACACCCGCUCCGCACAGCGCCCUGGGCUCCGGGCGCCUCUCCGCACCGGGCAGGAGUUUUGGCGGGAGGGAUUCUGGCCCGGCCCUCCCACUUUCUCUGCCCCUCGGAGGCAGGUGGCAGCACAGGACCGCGUCCAGGCCGAAGGACAGCGGGGCUGGCUACCGUGGGCAGAGAAACGUGUCGGGGACCCGGGUUAGCAGCCCUGCAAAACAGGCACCCGCUGAUGGCCGGUACGUCCUGAAUGUUGCGGUCCGAUGGCCGGUACGUCCUGAAUGUUGGUUUACUUUCCCGGAAGUUAGGGUCAGAGUCCUAACUAAGAACACUGUCCCAUUCCUGCCCUUCUCCUGCCUCAGCCUCCCGAGUACCUGGGACUGCAGGCGCCCUCCACCACGCCCGGCUAAUUUUUUGUAUUUUUAGUAGAGACGGGGUUUCACCGUGUUAGCCAGGAUGGUCUCGAUUUCCUGACCUCGUGAUCCGCCCGCCUCGGCCUCCCAAAGUGCUGGGAUUACAGGCGUGAGCCACCGCGCCCGGCCUUCACUCAGCAAACUUUUAUUGACCACUCAUUAUGUGCCCUCUAUGAGGGCCUAUCUCCUCCACCUAUGUGCAUGGCUUGCUCCUGUUGAGGCUCUGAAAACGAAACCCCAAAAUGAAGGCCCCAGAGGCAGCCUCAGAAGCAAGUUUCUCUCUGACCUUCUGCUCCCUCUCUGAUCUCUGAUUCUCUGAGGCUAGCCAUAGAAACUCAAGAAUCCCUCUUGCCCAUGACGGAGCAUAGAAACAGGAAUCCCUUUUCUCCACAGUCAGCCAUAAAACCUAAAAAUAUUACUCUCUCUCCACCUUUCUGUGAAAAAACUGGCCAUAAAGAAAUUAUUGGCCUGGCACGGUGGCUCACGCCUGUAAUCUCACCACUUUGGGAGGCCAAAGCGGGCAGAUCUCAAGGUCAGGAGUUCGAGACCAGCCUGGCCAAUAUGGUGAAACCCCGUCUCUACUAAAAAUACAGAAAUUAGCCAGGCGUGGUGGCGCAUGCCUGUAGUCCCAGCUACUCAGGAGCCUGAGGCAGAAGAAUCGCUUGAACCAGGGAGGUGGAGGUUGCGCCACUGCACUCCAGCGUGGGUGACAAAGCGAGACUCAGUCUCAAAAAAAAAAAGAAAAAGAAAUUAUCUGGGCUAGGUGCGGUGGCUCAUGCCUGUAAUCCCAGCACUUUGGGAGGCUGAGGCAGGCGGAUCACCUAAGGUAAGGAGUUUGAGACCAGCCUGGCCAACGUAGUGAAACCCUGUCUACUAAAAAUACAAAAAAUUAGCCAGGUGUGGUGGCAGGUGCCUGCAGCUACUCCGGAGGCUGAGCUACAAGCAUCGCUUGAACCUGAGAAGUGGAGGCUGCAGUAAUCCUAGAUCGCACCAUUGCAUUCCAGCCUGGGCGACAGAGUGAGACUCAGUCUCAAAAAACAAACAAACAAACAAACAAACAAACAAAAAAAGGCCAGACGUGGUGGCUCACACCUGUAAUCCUAGCACUUUUGGAGGCCAAGGCGGGCAGAUUGCCUGAGCUCAGGAGUUCGAGACCAGACGGUGAAAUCCCGUCUCUACUAAAAAUACAAAAAAAAAUUAGCCAGAUGUGGCAGCGUGCGCCUGUAUUCCCAGCUACUUGGGAGGCUGAGGCAGGAGAAUUGCUUGAACCCGGGAGGCGGAGGCUGCAGUGAGCCAAGAUCGCGCCACCGCACUCCACCCUGGGUGACAGAGAGAGACUGUCUCCAAAAAAAAAAAAAAUGUAUCUGACCUCCUUUGUUUUGCUGGUAGGUUGUAAGACCCCAUUCCAGGAAGGGUUCUUUCCCCUAUCCAGAAGGAAAGAAUCCAGACAGGCCUCGCUGGGCUUCCCCACUCAGUCUAUGAGCAUUAGAUCAUGCCCUUCUUGUCCAGUCCUAUUUCUACUCAGCUGUGCAUAUUUUGUUGAGCCUAAGCAUAAAAAUAGUUUUCCCUGUAACUUUGGGUCUUAAUUCUGAAGGUUCCUUUGUCAUGUAAAAGCAUGACCGAAUAAAUUUGUAUCACUUUCCUCCUAUUAAUCUGCCUAUUUUCAGUUGAAUUUUUAGAGAAACCUGAGAGCAAAGGGGAAGUUUUCCCUUACACUCCCUUACAUUCCACUUGGACUUUUGAAAUCAACUUCUGUUACCUUCCUUUCUGUAUCACUGAAACUCCUACCUUGAUUUAUGUUCCCUUCUUAGCAUUUACCAUUAUCUCUUUCUCGCCACACACACACAAACACACACACACACACACAAAACUUAUUAGGUUCAUCUCUGCCACCAAAAUGUAAAACCCACACUAAUAGGGUCUUUUCUCUAUCUUCUUUAUCCCAAGGACUAUCACUGUAGCACACAGCAAUCACUCAAAUAUUUGUGGGAUUGAUAAAUGGGAAUACAACUCAUGCAGACUGCAGUCAUCUCAAAUUAAGUAAAAGACAACAGCCUGAAGCCACAUUUUCAGUGAAAUGAUCAUCACAUUCUCAAAACACCUUUGACAACUUUUAUAAAAUGGGACUUCGGCUAGGCACGGUGGCUCAUGUCUGCAAUCCCAACACUUUGGGAGGCUGAGGCAGGAGGAUCACUUGAGCCCAGGAGAAUGAGGCCAGCCUGGGCAACAUACAGGAGACUCUGCCUCUACAAAAAUAAUUUUUUAAUUAGCUAGGCGUGGUGGUGCAUGCCUGUGGUCCCAGCUACUCGGGAGGCUGAGAUGAGAGGAUCACUUGAGAGGUUAAGGCUCCAGUGAGCCAUGUUUGUGCCACUGCACUCCAGUCCAGGUAACAAAGCAAGACCCUGUCUUUAAAAAACAAAAAAUGUAGUCCCAGCUACUUGGAGAGCUGAGGUGGUAGGAUCACUUGAGCCCGGGAGGUUGAGGCUUCAGUGAGCAGAGAUCAAGCCAACCUGGGAACAGAGUGAGAUCCUGUCUCCAAAAAAAGAAAAGGUGGGAGACUUCACAGACAGUUCUGAAAGCAAAGGCACAGGGAAAUUACAUAUCUGUGUGUGUCUUCUGGGCUCUACUACCUACUAGUUUUCUGACCUUAAGACCCUUUCCAAGCCUGUUUUCCUCCUCACUUCCAAAAUGGUUUUACCCAAGGUAAUGGCAGUUUUGAAGCAUGAAUAAGACAGACCAAGUAAAGUGCUUAGUACUAGAUCGAGACAUUACACAGUACUCAAGAAAUGGUAGCUACUUUUAUUACCAGCAGGCCGUUAGUUUCACAGAGGAAGAACAGUUUCUACAGGUGGUGAUCUAGUCUCCGGUUCCACCUUUCACUCUUUUCUGUGGCCUUGGGCAAAUCAUUUAAUCUGUCUUUGAAGCUAUUUCCCACAUUCAUAAACUACGUGGGCAAGUGAAAAUAAUUCAACCCUUUUUUCCCAAAUAGAAAAAUACUUAAGAUUUUAGCACUGAUCCAUCAGAGAAGCCACACUGGAAAACCUACGCAGAAACUAAAACUUGGUACCAUUCACUAUCCUCAAGUUUAUAGAAUUAAAAAGUAACAGACGUAAUAGGUAUAAAUACUCAGAAAACAUGAACAUGUCUCAUGUCAAAUAAGAACAGAAAGUUGGUGUGUAAAAAAUGUGGAUUAGCUGUCAAUAUAUAAAACACAGAAUACUGUUUUUAAAAAGAAUUGUUUAUUUACCGAACCUGGGGCAUAUUAGAUACAACCAAUUUUAAAUUUACAUCUUUUAAAUCAGUUUUGAAGUGUUUCACACACACAAAAAACUUGGCAUGCAACAGUUGUCCUAAGGUGAAAGUCACCUCAUUAAUAAACUGUUGCAAGUGUUCUCACCCAAGGUGGAAGUAUGGUUUAUCCUGAACAUGAAAACCUGUAACAAAUUUAAAUUAAUUAUAUAAAACUCGUUACUUGUAGUUUUGCCCUUGCAAAGAUCCAAAAAAAAAAAAAAAAGCACAAGUAACUAAUAUGUAUCAGUCACAACAUAAUCCUGGAUCAUCCCCAUACCAAAACCGGAUGCUCUUUUAAUUUUAAACCCAUCAUCAGAGAACAAGAGAAAGUAAUUUCAUUUUACACAAAACAAGAUUCACAUGUGCCAAAAAAGAAAGACCCAAAAGAAACAAAAACCAAAACCCUAAUGCUGACACUGAUGGUCAGUACCCUGAACAGUGGCCCAAAGGCCACUGAUCAAAAAUAAAAUAGUGGCUGUAUAUCAAUGAAAUGAAAUCCAAGAAGCUUUAACCCUUUGGCAUCAGAAAUCCAGAUUUUUCCAAUUAUGUAAAUGCUUAUUUCUUACAUGCCAAGAGUGGGAGAAGUGAAUGUGCCAAUGUGGAAAGAAAAAAAGCCACCACUCACUGGGACACCCAGAGAAUUGGCUUUAACAGACAAUUAGGGGGUUAGGCAGAAACCCAGAAAUGGUUAUUAGCUGCUUGUGUCAUCAAUUUAAGUGGAGAUGACUGAGUCCUAAGGUACAAUGUAAAAAUGUAUGUGGGAAAAUGUAUGCUGAGUCGUAGUUUUAAAGCAAAACAAGAAAACAAAGUAUGAAAGUACCCAGCCUGGCAGCAUACACCCAAGUCAGAGAGCUCUGCCAUUAGGACGGGCAGAAACCGUCAAGAUUCAUACUGCUGUUUCUCAUAAGGACUCAACAAAAAUGAAUCUUUAGUGACUUGAACCAUAGACUGAAGGAAUCCAAAGAAUGCAGUCAUUUUAGUAAAGUACUAUCAGGCUUUGUGCUGAUUUCCUGAACAAACUGCAUUAUAUUAUGAAAACAAAAGGAAAAGAAGAAAUAAUAAAAACUAUACUCCCAUAUUUCACUUACAGUGUUUGAGUUCCUGGAAGGACCUAUAUAAUGGAGGCAGCAUUCAAACAAGAAAUUAUGCCAAUCAACUGUCAAAUUUUCACUAUAAUUUUCCUAAAAAGGCGUUUUUCCCCCAAUAUCUAUUAAUCUCAAAGAAACAUAAGUUGUGAAUGUACAGUUCAGAAAAUAAAAAUGGAGAAACUAAUGACAUUAUUAUGACCAAGGUGUUUGGUAAACAGUGAAUUCUGAGUUGGGAUCAUCAGGAAGAGGCUUUUUAAACAACUCUCCGGACUUCAAAAAAUCUCUUCAGGUAGUAGAUCUGUCCCAAUGUCAUGGCAACUAGAACAAGAGCUUCAAAGAAGGACCAAAGGACCACUCUGCUGUUUGUGUUGUCGUUGACUGUUGAGGACAAAACAAACAAACAAAUGGCUCUGUGUAUUCUCUCCCGGACUUCCAUGUAUUCCUGUUCGUGCUUUACAGCUGUCAUCGCCACUGCUAGCUCAUUGAUCAUUUCUUCUAGCUUGUUCUGGUGAGAUGCUGU